UGUUUGCCUCGCUCACUCCUAUGGUUAGCUCGCGGUUUUCGUCGAUGAUCGUCCCCGCUGGUAGUAAUGAAACGAUCAAUAAAGCGGGUGACCUCUUCGGCGUUAUCGGGUCCUUCUAGCUUUGGGGCACCAGAAAACCAAUACAUGCCAUGAGAGUGCGGCGAUUCUCUGUGCUAGAACUCGAUCCUCCAAUAAUAAUGGACGAGUCUUAACUCAUUAAUUGCCGGAACCUGUAGUCGAAGUACAGGGAGCACGUUACUGGGUCAGAUAGAAUUAAUCUAGCUUUUUUCGGCGCAAGAAAGAGCUGCUGCCUCUUCCUCAGUAAUGUCUCUGCUAUCCAAUAAAAGAGUUCGUUCCAUUUAGAUUCAGCAGCAGAGAGGGUUAUGAAGAAUGUAGGCAACCCAAAUUGUCUAAUCAUGGCAAUAAAUUUCUUUUUUUCUGCCUCCCAGUGUGCUGGAGCUGAACGAAGGCCUUUUAGAAUGUGAAAUCCAUCGUCAUGUUGUACAAGACUGUCAAUAAAUGAAUUAUCCCUCA
Drosophila suzukii is the source of this 534-nucleotide non-coding RNA. The record is from RefSeq and is a predicted model, not a curated record. Lineage: Eukaryota; Metazoa; Arthropoda; Insecta; Diptera; Drosophilidae.